RNAcentral lists this ribosomal RNA (538 nucleotides) under uncultured bacterium. Its description in RNAcentral is "partial 16S ribosomal RNA". It matches the Rfam family "Bacterial small subunit ribosomal RNA", at positions 355 to 888 of the family's 1533-position model. The record is from RNAcentral.
UGGGGAAUUUUGGACAAUGGGCGAAANCCUGAUCCAGCAAUGCCGCGUGUGUGAAGAAGGCCUUCGGGUUGUAAAGCACUUUUGUCCGGAAAGAAAUCCUUGGCUCUAAUACAGUCGGGGGAUGACGGUACCGGAAGAAUAAGCACCGGCUAACUACGUGCCAGCAGCCGCGGUAAUACGUAGGGUGCAAGCGUUAAUCGGAAUUACUGGGCGUAAAGCGUGCGCAGGCGGUUUGCUAAGACCGAUGUGAAAUCCCCGGGCUCAACCUGGGAACUGCAUUGGUGACUGGCAGGCUAGAGUAUGGCAGAGGGGGGUAGAAUUCCACGUGUAGCAGUGAAAUGCGUAGAGAUGUGGAGGAAUACCGAUGGCGAAGGCAGCCCCCUGGGCAAUACUGACGCUCAUGCACGAAAGCGUGGGGAGCAAACAGGAUUAGAUACCCUGGUAGUCCACGCCCUAAACGAUGUCAACUAGUUGUUGGGGAUUCAUUUCCUAGUAACGUAGCUAACGCGUGAAGUUGACCGCCUGGGGAGUACGGUCG